Molecule: long non-coding RNA, 516 nt
Organism: Paramisgurnus dabryanus
Lineage: Eukaryota; Metazoa; Chordata; Actinopteri; Cypriniformes; Cobitidae
Source: RefSeq, a predicted model, not a curated record
CAGAUAAUUCAAGCCUACCUUCACCAGUCCAAUUUAUUAAAAGCUCUGCAGUCGAUGUGAGUCUGGUUUAUGGUGUUCUGCUGCUGCUGUUGCUCUGUGCUCUUGUGGCUUUGGUUUUACUCUACAAGAGAAAAUCUGUGUCAAAGUCCAGCGCGUUGAACCAUCCCACCCCUGAUAAUGCAGAUACACCAGACCCUAACCAGAAUAUAGAAGACGUCUAUCACCUCUAUGAUGGCCUAGUGACAGAGCAUUGCUCUGUGGGUCAACCUAAGGCAGAUGAUUCAUCUCUAAUCUAUUCAACAGUGCAGAACUGUGAUCUUGCACCCCAGGAUAAUGUUAACGCUUUGUAUUCACUCAUUACUCUGCAACAAAUGUGAAAUAAGGAUAAAUAACUAAAGAACAGUCUACGUCUGAGCUUUCAUGGGAAAUGUGGUCAAAGUGUUGAAACAAGCUGCACCAUGCUGCAGUGUCAGUGUGUUUCUACAAUAAACUCUCUAUAUUUAUGGCAUGUAUGUU